CUCUCCAAUAUCUAAAAUCAAAUUUCCAUCUCUCAAUGGACACACCAACAUCUCCUCAAUGUUGAGACUCCAUAGCCAUGCCAGUCGAGAGUUUUUUCUCUUCAACAUCAAAUCCUUCCUCUGUUCUGCAAUGAUCACUCUUUAGGGUCUUCUUCUUCAAAAGGGUGUUCCUUUAUUGUGUUGGUAUGUUAGUCAAAUGGGUGUUCCCUACAGCCAUGGCUACUCACAAUCCCAGAUCAAGUUUGUGAUAUUUGAGGUGAUAUUGUGUAUAAGGAAGUAGUUUUCACUUCCUCUGCAUGCUAAAUAGCCUGUGUGAAUCUGCCUAAUUUGGAUCACCUCAACUAAGAAUUGAGAGAAGAGAGUACUUUUACAACAAUAAUGAUUCUACAUGUUGAUGUACUGCUUGCCACACACAUUCUGCGUCAGCAAGGACUUGUGUUGGUAUGGCAAGGAUUGGAGUUGUGUGGUUUUCCUUUCUAUGAACAUGAGGUUGGGUUAGCGUAUUUGAGUCGAUCCUGGUUUCUUGUUGACCAAGCUUUGAGUCAUUUGGGUUGGCUCUAGGUGUAAUUGACCAAGCUUAGAUUAGGCUACAAGCAACAAACAUGGCCUUGUCUGCCAGGAUCCAACUCAUAUGCUGUGCAUUGGCAUGCUUUGGGGUUUCGUCUUUGGAGAUCCUUCUGAGUUUUUGUGUAUUUCAGGUUUAGUUCUACUCAUAAUGGUGACUUCCACUCUUAAGUUGGGUUUGUGGUUUCGCCUUUGGUUCUCCCAAACUAAACAUUCCAGGUUCAAUCUGGGAGUAUGAUCCUCUGCUUGAAGUUGGGUCUAUAAUGGCAUGAACGUGCUUGGUUUUUUACUUAGGCAUCUUUUUCUGAGAUCUUGAGAGAAACCUCAGAUUUGGUAUUUUCUCGGAAUAAUUGGCUUACCUCAUUGAGCUUCAUUCUGACAUUUCAGCUCGUAUCAUCCACUUCAGUAUCAUGACCAGUGCUUAGUCUUUCUAAGUUUGCCUAUUGGUUGUAUUCUAACGACGGUUGAGGACACUUUUACUUGUAUUCUCUUACCAACUCUCUUUGCUCGUUUGUUUCAGUUCCUCAAAGGAUCAAAUAUUUCCCUUCUAUAGCUUGACAUUUGCAAGAUCGAUAUGGGUGGUCCUCGGCUCUCUUUGUAUGAACGCCUAGCUCUAAAGAAGGCCCCUAGAAAUGCCGUUGAGACAUCCGAGGGACCAUCGACAGUAAACGUCACUGACCUGACAGAGGACAAGAAUCCUUUUUAUUCAACCUUUGAUUCCUCAUCACAAGUCCCCUGCAAACUUUUAUCAGUCCCAUCAGCUACAUAGUGGUUCAACCACACAAGGAGUUGAGCAAUCAACUGGGAUUCGUGCUUUUGUUCUCUUGGAGCAAGAACUCGGUCAAAGUCGUCCUGAGGGGGAAAUUGGGUUUAAUGAUGGCCCUUCAGAAGCCAUCACGCAAGCCCUCUACAAGUUGCAUAAUGUAGGUUAUGUUCUUGUAGUAUCGUCCCUCUCUUUCAUACAUUACUAAUGAAGUUUCCCUUUCUAGAUCUUCAUCCAAGCUUCUGUGUCAACUAUGGGGUUGGUGAACCUCAUCAACUUUCUCCAGCAGAACUAUGUUCCCAAGACUGAGCUAGCUCAGCUUCAAGCUAGUUCAGCUCAUAUUUUCAACUAUUAGCUGAGGCUAGAAUCAGGCUGGAAUGUUGUCGAGCUGAACUUAAAACACUCAACCCUCAAUUGGCUGAGGCUGAAUCUCGCUUCCACAGUCCUGAAUCUUUAGCUGAGGAGUUCAAGAAGACAGACACAUAGGCUAAAUGCAAGAUAAUAUAAUGGAAAGCACGGUUCUUUGGACAAUUCGGCAAUGCUGUCGAUGCUUUUCCUCGGAUAGAUUUUGGAUCCAUCAAUAGAAUUGCCAAGAUUGAACUUGCAAUUAAUCAAUAAAUAAAAAUGGUCUCUGAAAGCACAGUUUAAUC
This is a long non-coding RNA of Cucumis melo (muskmelon), 1977 nucleotides long. RefSeq lists it as uncharacterized. NCBI's taxonomy places the organism in Eukaryota, Viridiplantae, Streptophyta, Magnoliopsida, Cucurbitales, Cucurbitaceae. The transcript is spliced from 4 exons. The record is from RefSeq and is a predicted model, not a curated record.